RNAcentral lists this ribosomal RNA (494 nucleotides) under uncultured bacterium. RNAcentral's name for it is "partial 16S ribosomal RNA". It matches the Rfam family "Bacterial small subunit ribosomal RNA", at positions 28 to 507 of the family's 1533-position model. The record is from RNAcentral.
GACGAACGCUGGCGGCGUGCUUAACACAUGCAAGUCGAACGGUGAAGCGCCUUCCUUUUUGGUGGGUGUGGAUGAGUGGCGAACGGGUGAGUAACACGUGAGUAACCUGCCCCCUUCUUCUGGAUAACCGCAUGAAAGUGUGGCUAAUACGGGAUAUUCUGGGUCUGUCGCAUGAUGGGUCUGGGAAAGAUAUUGUUUCGGUGGGGGAUGGGCUCGCGGCCUAUCAGCUUGUUGGUGGGGUGAUGGCCUACCAAGGCGGUGACGGGUAGCCGGCCUGGGAGGGUGGACGGUCACACUGGGACUGAGACACGGCCCAGACUCCUACGGGAGGCAGCAGUGGGGAAUAUUGCACAAUGGGCGCAAGCCUGAUGCAGCGACGCCGCGUGAGGGAUGGAGGCCUUCGGGUUGUGAACCUCUUUCGCCAGUGAAGCAGGCCUGCCUCGUUUGUGGGUGGGUUGACGGUAGCUGGAUAGGAAGCGCCGGCUAACUACGUG